This 314-nucleotide ribosomal RNA is filed under the name Clostridioides difficile. RNAcentral describes it as "bacterial LSU rRNA". It matches the Rfam family "Bacterial large subunit ribosomal RNA", at positions 2248 to 2561 of the family's 2925-position model. Lineage: Bacteria; Bacillati; Bacillota; Clostridia; Peptostreptococcales; Peptostreptococcaceae. The record is from RNAcentral.
GGGCCACUGGCGGGUGGGCAGGUUGCCUGGGGCGGCCGUCCCCCCAAAGGUAACGGCGGCGUUCAACGGUUCUGCCCGUACGGUCGGAAAUCGUACGUAGGGUGUAAAGGCAAAAGAGGGCUUGAUUGCAAGACAUACAGGUCGAGCAAGGAUGAAAAUCGGACUUAGUGAUCCGGUGGUUCUGCGUGGAAGGGCCAUCGCUCAACGGAUAAAAGCUACCCUGGGGAUAACAGGCUUAUCUCCCCCAAGAGUCCACAUCGACGGGGAGGUUUGGCACCUCGAUGUCGGCUCAUCACAUCCUGGGGCUGUAGUAG